UUGGAGGGCAAGUCUGGUGCCAGCAGCCGCGGUAAUUCCAGCUCCAAUAGCGUAUAUUAAAGUUGUUGCAGUUAAAAAGCUCGUAGUUGAAUUUCGGGAUCAGAUUGUUGGUCGUGCCUCGGUACGUACUGGCAUUAUUGGUUCCUACCUUCUGAAGAACCGCGACGUCAUUAAUUUGGUGUCGUGGGGAAUCAGGACUGUUACUUUGAAAAAAUUAGAGUGUUUAAAGCAGGCGCACGCUUGAAUACAUUAGCAUGGAAUAAUGAAAUAGGACGUUUGAUUCUAUUUUGUUGGUUUCUAGGAUCGACGUAAUGAUUAAUAGGGAUAGUUGGGGGCAUUAGUAUUCAAUUGUCAGAGGUGAAAUUCUUGGAUUUAUUGAAGACUAACUACUGCGAAAGCAUUUGCCAAGGAUGUUUUCAUUAAUCAAGAACGAAAGUUAGGGGAUCGAAGACGAUCAGAUACCGUCGUAGUCUUAACCAUAAACUAUGCCGACUAGGGAUCGGAUGAUGUUAAUUUUUUAAUGACUCAUUCGGCGCCUUACGGGAAAC
Molecule: ribosomal RNA, 548 nt
Filed under: uncultured Glomeromycotina
Lineage: Eukaryota; Fungi; Glomeromycota
Description: SSU rRNA
Rfam family: Eukaryotic small subunit ribosomal RNA
Source: RNAcentral